UCCGUAGGUGAACCUGCGGAGGGAUCAUUACCGAGUUUACAACUCCCAAACCCCUGUGAACAUACCAAUUGUUGCCUCGGCGGAUCAGCCCGCUCCCGGUAAAACGGGACGGCCCGCCAGAGGACCCCUAAACUCUGUUUCUAUAUGUAACUUCUGAGUAAAACCAUAAAUAAAUCAAAACUUUCAACAACGGAUCUCUUGGUUCUGGCAUCGAUGAAGAACGCAGCAAAAUGCGAUAAGUAAUGUGAAUUGCAGAAUUCAGUGAAUCAUCGAAUCUUUGAACGCACAUUGCGCCCGCCAGUAUUCUGGCGGGCAUGCCUGUUCGAGCGUCAUUUCAACCCUCAAGCCCAGCUUGGUGUUGGGACUCGCGAGUUAAAUCGCGUUCCCCAAAUUGAUUGGCGGUCACGUCGAGCUUCCAUAGCGUAGUAGUAAAACCCUCGUUACUGGUAAUCGUCGCGGCCACGCCGUUAAACCCCAACUUCUGAAUGUUGACCUCGGAUCAGGUAGGAAUACCCGCUGAACUUAAGCAUAUCAAUAACGGGAGGA
RNAcentral lists this ribosomal RNA (546 nucleotides) under Fusarium verticillioides. Its description in RNAcentral is "eukaryotic LSU rRNA". The stretch from base 179 to 332 matches the Rfam family "5.8S ribosomal RNA". Lineage: Eukaryota; Fungi; Ascomycota; Sordariomycetes; Hypocreales; Nectriaceae. The record is from RNAcentral.